This 449-nucleotide ribosomal RNA is filed under the name uncultured bacterium. Its description in RNAcentral is "bacterial SSU rRNA". It matches the Rfam family "Bacterial small subunit ribosomal RNA", at positions 329 to 795 of the family's 1533-position model. The record is from RNAcentral.
UGCCAGACUCCUACGGGAGGCAGCAGUGGGGAAUAUUGCACAAUGGGGGAAACCCUGAUGCAGCAACGCCGCGUGAGUGAAGAAGUAUUUCGGUAUGUAAAGCUCUAUCAGCAGGGAAGAAAAUGACGGUACCUGAGUAAGAAGCCCCGGCUAACUACGUGCCAGCAGCCGCGGUAAUACGUAGGGGGCAAGCGUUAUCCGGAUUUACUGGGUGUAAAGGGAGCGUAGACGGCGAUACAAGUCUGAAGUGAAAGCCCGGGGCUCAACCCCGGGACUGCUUUGGAAACUGUGUUGCUGGAGUGCUGGAGAGGCAAGCGGAAUUCCUAGUGUAGCGGUGAAAUGCGUAGAUAUUAGGAAGAACACCAGUGGCGAAGGCGGCUUGCUGGACAGUAACUGACGUUGAGGCUCGAAAGCGUGGGGAGCAAACAGGAUUAGAUACCCGAGUAAUC